UACGAAGGGUGCAAGCGUUACUCGGAAUUACUGGGCGUAAAGCGUGCGUAGGUGGUUUGUUAAGUCUGAUGUGAAAGCCCUGGGCUCAACCUGGGAACGGCAUUGGAAACUGGCUUACUAGAGUGCGGUAGAGGGGUGUGGAAUUCCCGGUGUAGCAGUGAAAUGCGUAGAUAUCGGGAGGAACAUCUGUGGCGAAGGCGACACCCUGGACCAGCACUGACGCUGAGGCACGAAAGCGUGGGGAGCAAACAGG
This 253-nucleotide ribosomal RNA is filed under the name uncultured bacterium. RNAcentral's name for it is "partial 16S ribosomal RNA". It matches the Rfam family "Bacterial small subunit ribosomal RNA", at positions 524 to 776 of the family's 1533-position model. The record is from RNAcentral.